CAGAAGGAAACUCAAUUGCUCAAGUCCUUCCGCCAAUAAAUGCACAUAGUUAGAACGGCGAGUGAAGCGGGAAGAGCUCAAAUUUGUAAUCUGGCACUUUCAGUGUCCGAGUUGUAAUCUCGAGAAGUAUUUUCCGCGCCGGACCGCAUACAAGUCUGUUGGAAUACAGCGUCAUAGUGGUGAGAACCCCGUAACUGAUGCGGAUGCCCGGUGCUUUGUGAUAUACUUUCGAAGAGUCGAGUUGUUUGGGAAUGCAGCUCAAAUUGGGUGGUAAAUUCCAUCUAAAGCUAAAUAUUGGAGCAAGACCGAUAGCGAACAAGUACCGUGAGGGAAAGAUGAAAAGCACUUUGGAAAGAGAGUUAACAGUACGUGAAAUUGUUGGAAGGGAAACGCUUGAAGUCAGACUUGCUAUUCGGAGUUCAGCCGCAAGGUGUAUUCUUCGAUUUGCAGGCCAGCAUCAGUUUUUGGGGGUGGAAAAUCGUGGUUUGAAGGUAGCAGUUUCGGCUGUGUUAUAGCUUUCCACUGGAUUCAUCUUCGGGGACUGAGGAACGCAGUACGCUUUUUGCAAGGCUCUCGAGCUUUU
Molecule: ribosomal RNA, 583 nt
Filed under: Leucosporidium scottii
Lineage: Eukaryota; Fungi; Basidiomycota; Microbotryomycetes; Leucosporidiales; Leucosporidiaceae
Description: eukaryotic LSU rRNA
Rfam family: Eukaryotic large subunit ribosomal RNA
Source: RNAcentral